This 338-nucleotide unclassified non-coding RNA is filed under the name soil metagenome. Its description in RNAcentral is "partial contains 5.8S ribosomal RNA, internal transcribed spacer 2, and large subunit ribosomal RNA". The stretch from base 1 to 120 matches the Rfam family "5.8S ribosomal RNA", at positions 35 to 154 of the family's 154-position model. The record is from RNAcentral.
GAUGAAGAACGCAGCGAAAUGCGAUAAGUAGUGUGAAUUGCAGAAUUCAGUGAAUCAUCGAAUCUUUGAACGCACAUUGCGCCCUUUGGUAUUCCAAAGGGCAUGCCUGUUCGAGCGUCAUUUGUACCCUCAAGCUUUGCUUGGUGUUGGGCGUCUUGUCUCCAGUUCGCUGGAGACUCGCCUUAAAGUAAUUGGCAGCCGGCCUACUGGUUUCGGAGCGCAGCACAAGUCGCGCUCUCUUCCAGCCAAGGUCAGCAUCCACAAAGCCUUUUUUCAACUCUUGACCUCGGAUCAGGUAGGGAUACCCGCUGAACUUAAGCAUAUCAAUAAGCGGAGGA